UACGUAGGGACCAAGCGUUGUUCGGAUUUACUGGGCGUAAAGGGCGCGUAGGCGGCGUGGUAAGUCACUUGUGAAAUCUCUGAGCUUAACUCAGAACGGCCAAGUGAUACUGCUGUGCUCGAGUGUGGAAGGGGCAAUCGGAAUUCUUGGUGUAGCGGUGAAAUUCGUAGAUAUUCGGAGGAACACCAGUGGCGAAGGCGGCUCACUGGUCCAUUACUGACGCUGAGGUGCGAAAGCGUGGGGAGCAAACAGG
Molecule: ribosomal RNA, 253 nt
Filed under: uncultured bacterium
Lineage: Bacteria
Description: partial 16S ribosomal RNA
Rfam family: Bacterial small subunit ribosomal RNA
Source: RNAcentral